GGAGGACGGCGGGGCUGGGGGAAGCGUGGGCGGCUCCUGCUCGCCUGGGACUUCCCCGAGGACACCGCAGCCGGCACCUGCCCCGCUCCCAGAGCACGAGCCUUGUCGGCAUCGCGGCCGCCGGCACCACCUUCUCCUCCACACCCAGAUGUGGCCUCAGGACCGGCGCUGGUGGCACCUCGGCUCCUGACGUCCCUCGUCCCAGCUGCAGAGCCACUGGGGGCCUCCUGCAGGGAAGGUCAGAGCAGCUGAGCCGGGCUGAAAAAUCUGCAAGCGUACAGCGCGCUAAGAGGGCUGUCCCCGUGCCUGGAGCUGGCUGGGAAAGGAGGCUGGAGGAGGUGGCAGGAAGGAUGCACAGCCCCUCUCCGCAGCACCAGCUCUCUGCCACGCUGCCAGCCCGCCUGCAGCAUGCAGCCAGCCCAGUCCUUCAGCACCUGUGUGUGAUCUCCCUGUGGAGGAGAGCAGAUGCUGGAGGCAAACUGGACGGCUACGGUUGGAAACCAGCGACCUGGAAAGCCAAGAGCAGGCACAGCUGCCUCUGAAGUGCUCCGUGUCCUAGGGCGCCGGGUGGUGUUUGCUUUGGCCAGCCGCUGCCCUGCGCUGUGCCAGCAGCUGCUUGGCUUUGCUGCCGAUAAGGCGAUUAGCAGCAAAUUGGUUAAUGCCUUCCCCGAGAGCAGCACGCACAGCCACCCCGCGCUCAGGUCACCUGGGGGGCUGCAGAGGGCCUGGG
RNAcentral lists this long non-coding RNA (730 nucleotides) under Anser brachyrhynchus (Pink-footed goose). RNAcentral's name for it is "lncRNA (ENSABRG00000010418.1)". The record is from RNAcentral. Lineage: Eukaryota; Metazoa; Chordata; Aves; Anseriformes; Anatidae.